GGUUAAGCGACUAAGCGUACACGGUGGAUGCCCUGGCAGUCAGAGGCGAUGAAGGACGUGCUAAUCUGCGAUAAGCGUCGGUAAGGUGAUAUGAACCGUUAUAACCGGCGAUUUCCGAAUGGGGAAACCCAGUGUGUUUCGACACACUAUCAUUAACUGAAUCCAUAGGUUAAUGAGGCGAACCGGGGGAACUGAAACAUCUAAGUACCCUGAGGAAAAGAAAUCAACCGAGAUUCCCCCAGUAGCGGCGAGCGAACGGGGAGCAGCCCAGAGCCUGAAUCAGUAUGUGUGUUAGUGGAAGCGUCUGGAAAGGCGCGCGAUACAGGGUGACAGCCCCGUACACAAAAAUGCACAUGCUGUGAGCUCGAUGAGUAGGGCGGGACACGUGGUAUCCUGUCUGAAUAUGGGGGGACCAUCCUCCAAGGCUAAAUACUCCUGACUGACCGAUAGUGAACCAGUACCGUGAGGGAAAGGCGAAAAGAACCCCGGCGAGGGGAGUGAAAAAGAACCUGAAACCGUGUACGUACAAGCAGUGGGAGCACAGAGCAAUCUGUGUGACUGCGUACCUUUUGUAUAAUGGGUCAGCGACUUAUAUUCUGUAGCAAGGUUAACCGAAUAGGGGAGCCGAAGGGAAACCGAGUCUUAACUGGGCGUUAAGUUGCAGGGUAUAGACCCGAAACCCGGUGAUCUAGCCAUGGGCAGGUUGAAGGUUGGGUAACACUAACUGGAGGACCGAACCGACUAAUGUUGAAAAAUUAGCGGAUGACUUGUGGCUGGGGGUGAAAGGCCAAUCAAACCGGGAGAUAGCUGGUUCUCCCCGAAAGCUAUUUAGGUAGCGCCUCGUGAAUUCAUCUCCGGGGGUAGAGCACUGUUUCGGCAAGGGGGUCAUCCCGACUUACCAACCCGAUGCAAACUGCGAAUACCGGAGAAUGUUAUCACGGGAGACACACGGCGGGUGCUAACGUCCGUCGUGAAGAGGGAAACAACCCAGACCGCCAGCUAAGGUCCCAAAGUCAUGGUUAAGUGGGAAACGAUGUGGGAAGGCCCAGACAGCCAGGAUGUUGGCUUAGAAGCAGCCAUCAUUUAAAGAAAGCGUAAUAGCUCACUGGUCGAGUCGGCCUGCGCGGAAGAUGUAACGGGGCUAAACCAUGCAC
Molecule: ribosomal RNA, 1154 nt
Filed under: Escherichia coli
Lineage: Bacteria; Pseudomonadati; Pseudomonadota; Gammaproteobacteria; Enterobacterales; Enterobacteriaceae
Description: partial 23S ribosomal RNA
Rfam family: Bacterial large subunit ribosomal RNA
Source: RNAcentral